Molecule: long non-coding RNA, 1996 nt
Organism: Mus pahari (shrew mouse)
Lineage: Eukaryota; Metazoa; Chordata; Mammalia; Rodentia; Muridae
Exons: 3
Source: RefSeq, a predicted model, not a curated record
AGGCAUCACCAGGGAGAUGAUGAAGAAGGGCAGCCAGCACACAAUAAAUGCUCCUAAAAUGAUCCCUAGGGUCUUGGUGGCUUUGCGCUCCCUAGCGGCCAUGAGUUUCUUCUUUUCCAGCAGGGCGUCUGAGACUCUCACUUUGACUUGGUUCACGUACACAGGAGACCCGGACUCACUGGGCACGUCCGGAGCCCGGGAGUUAAUGGAGGUGACCGAGGACGUGGAUCCCGGGGAGUCUGUUAUCAACUGGGCUCGGGUCAAGCGCUUGCCGGUCUUGUUGGGUGUCUGUUUCAAAAUCCGAGAGCGGGCUUCCACAUAGAUGCGGCCAUAGAGGGCGAUGAGGAGCAGGGUGGGUAAAUAGAAAGCGCCCACCGUGGAGUAGACCGUGUAGAGGACAUGGUCGGUGUUCACAAAGCAGUCCAGCAUCUCCUCCUCCGCUUUGGCUUGACGCCAGAAGAAGGGUGGCAACGAAAUAGAGAUGGAGAAGACCCACACCAGCACGAUCAUGAUGGCCGCCCUUUUGGGAGUCCUUUUAGCAGAAUACUCCACCGCAUCAGUGAUGGCCCAGUAGCGGUCCAAGGCGAUGACACAGAGAUGCAUGAUGGAAGCAGUGCAACAGGUGAUAUCCGACGACAGCCAGAAGUCGCAGACCACCUGGCCUAGUGUCCAGCGUCCAGUGACCGUGUACAUGGUGCUGAUGGGCAUCACCAGGAUGGACACGAGCAGCAAUUUCAAAGCAAAACUGCAAAACUUCAAGUAUCAUUUACAAGAAGGAUCUAUGCGAGGCACAAAGCAAAUCUCAAGCAACUGAAACUGACAGUUAAUCAAAAAAGAUGAUUAAGAAAAUAGCUGUAAUCAAAGGAAAUAACUUCUCUAUCAACAAUCAGCAUAGGCCACGACUGCAAGCUCCUGCUGCCUGCACUUCCUUGCCAUGAUGGACUGUACCUUGAAUCCUGUACUAAAAGAAACCUGUUCUUUCAUAAGUUGCUUUCGUCAGAGUAGAAUGCUCACAGCAACAGAAGAGAAACUAGGACAUCUUAUAAAGUUGCACUUCAUGAAUUGCCAGCACCCAAAUCUAACUCAACCCUCCCAAGUAUACAGAGCCAUGUUCUAUCUUGUCCUUGUCAAACACCCCUGUUUUCUCUCAGGUACUUAAAAAGGCUGAUGGCUGACACUUUGGCUACAAAAAUGUAUAACUACGUUGUCUUGAUCCAUUCUUCACUCGGUAGAUUAUUGCUUUGGAUCCUAAGUGCCAAUAUUUUUUUUUCUGUGUAUAUUAAAUGAAAAGGUCUAAAAUACUGGUGACUUCUCUUGUUAGAAAGGUUUACUUUUCUGUCAAAUGUGUACUUUAUUUUCAGUAUUAGAGUAUGCUUUUAUUAUGUCUAUUUUUUCUCUACUACUGCUUGACUAUAACAGACUAGUUAUGAGAAUUUGUCCUAAGGUAGUACAUUUUAAGAUUAAAACUUUGGGCUGUGGGGAGUUCUCAGAUCAUUGUCAGUUUGGUUCCAAAAGGAAUGUGAGACCCCAAUUCUCUUUUAUUCUUCUUUCUUCUUCUUAAUCAUGAGGUAAAGCAGUUUACCAUUUGUGCCAUCUUGGGCCUCUUGCAUCCUUAACUCCAGUCCAAAUAUAGGUUAAUGAAAUCUUAGAAUUUUCAAUCCAAAAGCAUGAGACAAAACACACCUUUCGUCUUCAUCGAUCAAUCAUUUAACAUUUUGGUUGUUAUAGUAAUAAGAAAGAACUAACAAAGACCUUUCAUGUCCUGAGAGAGGGAUCAUAUAUUUUAUUAAAUAUUUUAUGGUGCUAUUUUUAUUACGUUUGCAUUUUAAGUAUGAGUGUGCAUAGAAAAUUGGCAUUUAAUUGAAUAUGAUUUAUAAAUUUAAAAUUGCUGAGUAUUUUGAGCCAUAAAAAUUAUGCUGCAUUUGUUUUUGUUUUGUGCAUAUGUAUACUUAUUUUUACUUAUUAUCAAUGUUUUAUUGUUUAAAAACAGAUGAAU